CUGAUUAUUAGCAUCAUUCAUCGAAUGGUGGGUUAGCGCGCGUCGGCUUGCAGUGACAUAUAACCCGCCAAACGAGGCGGGUUUU
Non-coding RNA from Burkholderia sp. H160, 85 nucleotides. The record is from Rfam. NCBI's taxonomy places the organism in Bacteria, Pseudomonadati, Pseudomonadota, Betaproteobacteria, Burkholderiales, Burkholderiaceae.